This 301-nucleotide ribosomal RNA is filed under the name uncultured bacterium. Its description in RNAcentral is "partial 16S ribosomal RNA". It matches the Rfam family "Bacterial small subunit ribosomal RNA", at positions 509 to 809 of the family's 1533-position model. The record is from RNAcentral.
CAGUCGCCGCGGGAAUACGAAGGGUGCAAGCGUUACUCGGAAUUACUGGACGUAAAGCGUGCGUAGGUGGUGGUUUAAGUCCGUUGUGAAAGCCCUGGGCUCAACCUGGGAAUUGCAGUGGAUACUGGGUCACUAGAGUGUGGUAGAGGAUAGUGGAAUUUCCGGUGUAGCAGUGAAAUGCGUAGAGAUCGGAAGGAACAUCUGUGGCGAAGGCGACUAUCUGGGCCAACACUGACACUGAGGCACGAAAGCGUGGGGAGCAAACAGGAUUAGAUACCCCCGUAGUCCCUGUCUCUUAUAA